UACAGAGGGUGCAAGCGUUAAUCGGAAUUACUGGGCGUAAAGGGUGCGUAGGUGGGUGUGUAAGUUGGAUGUGAAAGCCCCGGGCUCAACCUGGGAUGGUCAUCCAAUACUGCAUGUCUAGAGUAUGGUAGAGGGUAGUAGAAUUUCCGGUGUAGCGGUGAAAUGCGUAGAGAUCGGAAGGAAUAUCAAUGGCGAAGGCAGCUACCUGGGCCAAUACUGACACUGAGGCACGAAAGCAUGGGGAGCAAACAGG
This 253-nucleotide ribosomal RNA is filed under the name uncultured bacterium. RNAcentral describes it as "partial 16S ribosomal RNA". It matches the Rfam family "Bacterial small subunit ribosomal RNA", at positions 524 to 776 of the family's 1533-position model. The record is from RNAcentral.